Molecule: non-coding RNA, 312 nt
Filed under: Pan troglodytes (chimpanzee)
Lineage: Eukaryota; Metazoa; Chordata; Mammalia; Primates; Hominidae
Source: RNAcentral
GGACCUUUGAAGAAUCCUCUCAACUUAUGGAUACUAAUCCAUCAGCUGCAAAUAGCCACACAAAUGUUCACCACUAUGAAGCUUUGUACGAUAUGGAGUUGUAUUAGGGACUCAGACCUGGGAGAACAGCCACUGCCCAGACAUGUUCAGCGACAGAUAAAACAGUAUAACAUUUUGCAAAGGCAAAUUCCUCCUCUUCUGCUGUAGAAAAACUUGGUUUCUUCUUCAUACACACUGAGUCCUUCUGCUCAUAAUGCUGGUCCUAAACGCCUUAAUCCAAAAGCAGCCAAUAAAAAGUUUUUAAAAGUCCAA